RNAcentral lists this ribosomal RNA (422 nucleotides) under uncultured bacterium. RNAcentral describes it as "bacterial SSU rRNA". It matches the Rfam family "Bacterial small subunit ribosomal RNA", at positions 355 to 774 of the family's 1533-position model. The record is from RNAcentral.
UGAGGAAUAUUGGGCAAUGCCCGCAAGGGUGACCCAGCAACGCCGCGUGGAGGAUGAAUGUCGUAAGAUUGUAAACUCCUGUUAGAGGGGAAGAAUAGUACCGGUUGGACCGGUAUAUGACUGUACCCUCAGAGAAAGCCCCGGCUAACUACGUGCCAGCAGCCGCGGUAAUACGUAGGGGGCAAGCGUUGUCCGGAUUUACUGGGUGUAAAGGGCGCGCAGGCGGGAUAAAAAGUCAGUGGUGAAAUCCUACAGCUUAACUGUAGAACUGCCUGUGAUACUUUUAGUCUUGAGUUCGGGAGAGAGAGACGGAAUUCCAGGUGUAGUGGUGAAAUACGUAGAUAUCUGGAAGAACACCAGUUGCGAAGGCGGUCUCUUGGUCCGACACUGACGCUGAGGCGCGAAAGCGUGGGGAGCAAACA